AUGCAAGGCCACACGGAGCUCAGGAAGGGCCAAGGCCGAGACCCUCGGGUCCUCUUUGGAAAGGGGCGCCCCCUAAUCCCCGUGGGAGAAAAGGUGAGGGGAGAGUGGAGAUCCCACCGGGCCAGCCCAGGGGUUAAUCAUCUGGAUAAUCGGGAAAGGGCGCUGCCCGGCCUGGUCGCUGUCACCGAGAGUGUCAGUCACCAGCUCUCGACCCGCCGCAGAAAUUACCUGCUCCAAGAGACAUCCCACGGAGCCCUCCGCACUGAGCUGUCCCCGCCCGCUGUCUGCGGGAAGCAAACCGCGCCCUCGUUCAAAAGAAGCGGAUGCCCCUUUGACCCUCCUCCUCCCCCAGACGGUUCCCAAAUCCAGAAGGGCAGUGCCGGCUCGGGAUCGCUCCCAACUCCUACAGCGCAGCUCCAGCUUCCGGGCUACCUGCCUAUUACACAGUCCGUCUACCAAAAGGAAAAAAAAAGUGGUGGUGGAGGCGAGCGCCCCCAGCCCAAUUCGCCCCGACUGGGAACCCACGGGGUGCUGAACAGACGUCAGCUCUCUCUGCUCCUGCUCAGUCCCCGCGGGCAAGGAAGCGCCAGCGGCUGGAGAAGGUGGUUUCGGUCUCCCGUGGGUGCCCCUGACCCGAGGGGGCACCACACAGCCGAGGCAGCUGAGGUCGCAGCCGAAGUCACCUUCUCUCCGCACAGGAAAAUGCUCGUUCCCCGGGCCGAGCGCUUCCGCCGCGCGCUGAUCCCACCCGCCAAGCCCCGAAGGAGCCGGCGGCGCAGCGGCCCAGGCCCGGCCCCAGCACUGCUCCGGACUCCCGGUAGGGGGAGCCUCCCCGGGCGCGGGGCCAGCCCGGGUCCCGGCCUCCCCGCUCGGCCUCGCAGCCCGCGCGGCCGCCUCUCCACCUGCCCGUGGGGGAAGGGAGCCCCGCGCCGAGCCUGCCCCCAUCCCCGGCUGCUGCACCGCAGAGAAGACAGACACGACCGAAGUGCAUUCUUGAGGUCCAAAUAUAGGAGCGGCUCAGAAGCUUUCAUUUUAGGAUAUGACCAAUGUUCAGAGAACAACCCAAAUUCAGGGUGAAGGGGAAAGAAGUCAGCCACACUGUGAACCCACAGAUCACUCUACUGUGCCCCGUGUGGUCGAACACCUGAGCUCGAGGGGCCAGAGAAUUCCUGGAGGAUACUCCGCAGAUAAAACCUGCAAGCUCCCCUUCUGCAAAAAGCCAUCCUUCCCGCAGGAAUCCACAGCGCAGAAGAGCUCUCAUAAGGCCAAGUCAUCAAGAGCUCUUCAGAGAGAAUUGCAUAAGCAAAGAAUUUCACACUUGGAAGGAAACUUAAAGACCACUUAGUCUAAUGGUUGUGGUUUACUGGUGAGGAGCUUGAGCUCAGUAGACGGGAGGCAGAUUCACACUCCAGGUGAGAAAAUCCCUGAAUGCGGAGUUGAGCCUCCAACUCUCCUCUUUUGACCCUCAGUCCAGGACUGUUUGGACCGCAGGACACCAGAAAUGCAUUUUACUGUUGUUGCUAUCCCGGUAAUUACGAAUAUAUUUCCACAUAGUUUAGAGUGCUUAGUAAGACAUACUUCUUUCAUAAUAUUGCAACAAUAGCAAAAUCUGCAAGGUCUGUGUGAAAAGAAUAUUACAGUUGGUUCAAGGGACGCUGAAUUUUGGAAGUGAAGUUGCAUAUAGUAUUGAGGCAUUUGGGGGAGAGACUAAACAAAAGUGGUUGUAUUGUUUUAUCCCAAUUUAAGAACAUGCAAUAUAUGCAAAUAUAUGAAUAAAUGAACAAAACAGUACAAAAAACCCAGGAUCGUGGUAUUAUAAAGCAUUCUUUAUUUUUUAAAGGCAUUCUUCUAAGUUGUGUGGUUUUUCUCCAAAAAUCAGAGCUAUUUUAGUGCAUAUAAGCAUUUGUUUUAUAGGGUUUUUUUUUUUUGUUUAUAGGUUUUUAAAGUAUUGAAUUCUGAUGCCAUUUUUAAGGACCAAAGACAAAUAAUAUAUACAUUUCUAAAAUCAGAUUUAAAAAAAUAAAAAUCUAAUUUCUAAAAAGUAGAGUUAGCCACAAUGGGGGAAAUUUUUUUGAAUAAAAUAUUAUAGGAUAAACCUAUAAGAAAACACUCUACUGCGUGUCUAAUAAACCCUGAGGUAUAAAUGAUAUUCUAUCAUUUUCUCCACAACUACUUUAUUUUUUUGAUAAGGUCAACACAAAAAUUGUCAUUUACAAGGACACUCCACUAUUCCUUUUUUGUACCUGGUUCAAAAGGGCAAAGACAUACAUUAUCAAAUGGAAAUGUCUCAGUCUCUUUCCGUAACUAAUGUCUGAUCUUUAGCAAAUGGCGCUGUGAUGUCAUUGAAAUGGGUAUUGGACAAGGUACCAAUUGAUUUAUUGAUUUCCCUUCUUCAAAGUCCACUGGGAAUUGGGGAGAAGGAAAAACAUAGGUUGGCUGAAAUGUGCAUUACUUAUACUAUCAUACACACGCGAAAAUUUAUUUGGUUGAUAAAAUUGACAACUGAGAAGCACUGCUUACAGAAAUUCAUAAAGGAAUGACGUGGAGGCCACGCAGUUGAUCAACCUGCUUCUCCCCCAUCCUGUCACUGUAUUUGCCCGUCGGAUUUCAACCUUAUAGAAGGCAAAAAAGACCAAGUUUUCAGCUAGCCUAUACACAACAAUGGGAGCAGGAGGAAAAAAAGGAGGCUGGGGCGGGGCAGGAAACAGAAUAGGCACAUUUGCUUCCAAAGGCAACCCCAUAAAUCCUGCUCCAGGGCCCUGACAGCUUGGCAGUGUUCCUGAAGACUGGCACUCGAUGGGGAUCUCACCAGGGGUCUCGGUGGUCUGUGGGCUGGAGUGACCUCCCACCCGGGACCGGCCUUCCUUCGGCCUACACCUGUGACGGGUUACAGAGCCUACAGCCAACCCAGGACAAUAAAGAGAAUAAGGCUGCUCUGAGUGUCUUUCGUUUCUUAGGAGAGGAUUUCAAAGCCAGGCUCCUUUCAGCCUUAAUCAUUGAAGUAGAUUUUUGAGGAGAAAGACUUUUACUCUGAGUCCUGUUAAAAAUGCCAAUGCAAUCGCCUGGAGAAACUCUACAUUGUAACAUCUGCCUAGGAAUUACUACACACAACAGUAUCUACAGCAAAGCUGAAAAUAAAUGAAUAAAAACAAACCUCAGACUUCCACUCCCCUGGCAUUCCCUAUGGGCGAGCUGCAUUGAGUAACAGCGAAGAUUUACUCUAAUGCAUCCUAAACACGCUGCAUAUUAGCUACUUUGUCUUUCCUGUUCCUUCCCCCUGCUUUAAGAAAAAUGGAACAUCUUUGCCUUCCAGAGCUUUCUCUUCCUUUAGCUCAAUCCUCUGGGUUUAGCACCACCAUCUAGGAAAUCCCUGCUGGUUAAGGUGAGUUGACUUUGGUUUGUGCCCAUGGGAGUAGGAGGAAGGAUAGGGUGGAGCGAGUUUCUCUUGCUCACCACUCCAGAAGAGGGGUGUGCUUCAAGCUCUCUACUCAUGCCCCCCUCCCGCCCCUGCCCAAGCUGGAUCCUCGGAGAAGGCUGGUGUCAAAGAGAUGUUGGGUGUGGGAGUAUGAUGGAGAGAAAAGUAGAACCAUGACAACUUUUAAGGAGGUUAGGCCAGUGUGUGCUUGGACCUGGUGCAGAAAAUGCUUUUAAAAAUAAACACAUAAAUGUAUUUAAACAAUAGUAUUCAUCUUCUUGCAGUCAUAAGUUUAAUAACCAUAAAAAAUUCUUAAAAAUCUGUAAAUAUUGGGGAAGGGAGGUGAAGUAGUGUGCUUCAGAGCUUUAAGCCUACAGGGUAAGUCAAUUCUGCCUUUGUCACUUACUAGCAGUGAAACCUGGAGGAGGUUAACUCACCUUUCUGAACUUCAUUUUCCCUGUCAAAUAGGCAUAAUAGCAACAGCCAUCCCAUAAAACUGAGGAGUAAACGAAAUACUACAUGUAAGUUGCUUAAGACAGUUCCUGCAACAACUGAACAACUUGAAAAAUGUUCACUAUAUUAUGUUAGAAUUGCUGAUCCAAUUGAGAGAGACUCAAUUCAUAUUGCAGAUCACUGAAUGGGAACGAGGAGUUGAAGCUUGGAUCGCAUUAUUCUCCUAGAUCCAUUUCUUAAGACAAAAUAACUCAGGGUGGGCACCUGGGUGGCUCAGUGGUUGAGCGUCUGCCUUAGGCUCAGGUCGUGAUCCCGGGGUCCUGGGAUCAAGUCCCACAUUGGGCUCCUCACAGGGAGCCUGCUUCUCCCUCUGCCGUGUCUCUGCCUCUCUCAUGAGUAAAUAAAUAAAAUAUUAAAAGAAAAAAAAGAUAACAGAGGGAACCUUAUAUUACUUCAUAACCAAUGAAAAUUUUUUUUUUCUGAAUUUUAGUAAGCAUUUCUCAAGAACAUUUUCAUCAGCACUCUGUCCAUCCCUACAGCAGAGGCUCCUGAUCUGGGCAAGGGAGGCAGAGAUUAUGAAGACUAUCUUGCCCAGAGGUCAUUCCCAAGUCUUCCAUACAGGGUUAUGCUCAGGCAGGUGGAACUUUUCAUCAUACUGUCCCUGAGGUGUGACAUUAUGUUUGCUCAGGGUACAGGAAAAGAGACUCAGAGACCAUGUCCUCUGUUCUUUGUUUGCUGCUGCAGGGACACAUGGUGUCCUACCGAAUGGAGAGAACCCUUUAGGCUGACUCUGAG
Molecule: long non-coding RNA, 4663 nt
Filed under: Canis lupus familiaris (dog)
Lineage: Eukaryota; Metazoa; Chordata; Mammalia; Carnivora; Canidae
Description: lncRNA (ENSCAFG00030010188.1)
Source: RNAcentral